RNAcentral lists this ribosomal RNA (467 nucleotides) under uncultured bacterium. RNAcentral describes it as "partial 16S ribosomal RNA". It matches the Rfam family "Bacterial small subunit ribosomal RNA", at positions 29 to 507 of the family's 1533-position model. The record is from RNAcentral.
ACGAACGCUGGCGGCGUGCUUAACACAUGCCAGUCGAACGGAAAGGCCCUGCUUUUGUGGGGUGCUCGAGUGGCGAACGGGUGAGUAACACGUGAGUAACCUGCCCUUGACUUUGGGAUAACUUCAGGAAACUGGGGCUAAUACCGGCUAGGAGCUCCUGCUGCAUGGUGGGGGUUGGAAAGUUUCGGCGGUUGGGGGUGGACUCGCGGCUUAUCAGCUUGUUGGUGGGGUAGUGGCUUACCAAGGCUUUGACGGGUAGCCGGCCUGAGAGGGUGACCGGCCACAUUGGGACUGAGAUACGGCCCAGACUCCUACGGGAGGCAGCAGUGGGGAAUAUUGCACAAUGGGCGGAAGCCUGAUGCAGCAACGCCGCGUGCGGGAUGACGGCCUUCGGGUUGUAAACCGCUUUCGCCUGUGACGAAGCGUGAGUGACGGUAAUGGGUAAAGAAGCACCGGCUAACUACGUG